Triticum aestivum (bread wheat) is the source of this 961-nucleotide long non-coding RNA. RefSeq lists it as uncharacterized. Lineage: Eukaryota; Viridiplantae; Streptophyta; Magnoliopsida; Poales; Poaceae. The transcript is spliced from 2 exons. The record is from RefSeq and is a predicted model, not a curated record.
UCUGUCGGUCAGAUUAAAUCUACGUGCUAGAGGAACCAUCACGUGCUCAUGGACUCGAACGAACCAACACUUUUGACCCCUAGCAUAAGAACAGGUCAAAAAACAAAACCUAGGCUUCGAGGGUGCUGAGGAAGACAAUCGACGGACAACGUACAUGCAGGCGUCAAAGAAGCGCCUGAGUCUCCGCACCAAAAACCAACGUCCGGGAGCAAAGAAAUCUAGGCUUGCCGAGGGACAAAGAACGACGUACAUCACAGGUAUAUUCAAGUAUACGACAUAGGGUGCUGAUGCAGCCAGCCCGUGGCAACCAACGGAUGCAGGUGUCGAAGAAACGGUGGAGUUUGGGUGCCAAAAAUCAACGGCUGGAGGCAAAGAAAUCUAGGCCUGACGAGGAAGCAUCGAUCGACACCUUCUUUGACGUGCAUCACAGGUACAAGUACGACAGAGGCUGGCGAAACAGCCAACCCAUGGUCGACUUGGACGCAUGCGUCAAAGGAGGGACGGCGACAGAGGCAACGCCGACCGUGAGAUCGCCUGAUUAGCUAGCUUUGUACGUGAAGAUUUGUUCUAGCCAUCACAUCAGGAAGCAAAUCGAGCUAGGUUUUCAAAGGUCGUGCUGGCCGUAAACUACACGGCAACUCGCUGGAUCGUCUCAGUGAAAGCAAAGCCAAGUCGAGGUAGGAAUAUACAUAUCCGGAGCACAUUGUGAUACUAUAAUACCUUAUAUUCAGAUGACUUUUACUACAGGUAAUAUAUUUAGAUUACAUGUCAAGCAUCAAAGAGUAUCAUAGAAAAAAUAGAAACUCCAGUACAUGACACAAUAGGAGUUACUCUGUAAUCAUGGUGUGCUCCAUGUACUAUCUUUGUGUCCAUAGAGAUCCAUGUCUUUAUGUGUACUUCUUUUUUUCAGUUCUGGUGCACACCAAGUUAUCUCAACUAUUUAUGAAUUACUGGUAGUUGA